CUCAUUUCAUAAUGAGGCGCACUUCCGGUUCUAGACCUGGGGAGUGCGGCUCCUGCUUUCUACUAGAGGAUAUACAGAUGAUGCCACAUGUCUAUGGUGAUCUCUCUUCAGCUUUCGGGAAUUGCCUUCAAUCUUAUCCAGAGCAGUGGUUCUCAAAGUUCAGCCUGCAGCAGAAUCAACUGGAGAACUUGCUAAAUGGAGAAUACGAGGCACCCCUAGAGCUUCUGACAGAGCAGGUCUGCCCUGCCAAGUUCUCUGGGAAUCCCUCACACUGUGCCUCAUUUGUGUUCACAAACAAGUGUCUCCCAUGGACUUUUUCUCCUGCUCUUUUCCCACUUCCAGAAGCUGACUGGCUUACAUUUCCCACAUCUGACGAUGCGCCUUCAUGACCCAUCAUGUCUGUGAGGCUCCCAGAGCUAUUUGCCGACACUUGAAGACCCAGAGUAGCACUCGCUUCUGUAAGAAAAAAAGGAACCUAGGUUGUUCUAGGAACGCUAUGCUUAUGUGCAGGGACAAUGCCUUCUUGCCACAGCGACCGCUUGCUUUCGCAUAGAAUGGCUCCUGAAUUAAGAAUACUGUUCGCAGGGCCACCCCGCCGGGAGCAAGGCUGUGACAGCCGCGGAACUGCUUACCUGCGGGGAGAGUCAGCUUGUGCGAUGUUCUCCCUGCACCAGAAGGAGAAAACUAAUCCCAGCCAGUUCUAUUUAAAUGAAUAAUGAUCUGGGGUCACUUCGCAUCCUGUGGAGGUUAACGACU
This 756-nucleotide long non-coding RNA is filed under the name Equus asinus (donkey). Its description in RNAcentral is "lncRNA (ENSEASG00005036509.1)". Lineage: Eukaryota; Metazoa; Chordata; Mammalia; Perissodactyla; Equidae. The record is from RNAcentral.